AGAGUUUGAUCCUGGCUCAGAAUGAACGCUGGCGGCGUGCCUAAUACAUGCAAGUCGAGCGAACGGACGAGAAGCUUGCUUCUCUGAUGUUAGCGGCGGACGGGUGAGUAACACGUGGAUAACCUACCUAUAAGACUGGGAUAACUUCGGGAAACCGGAGCUAAUACCGGAUAAUAUUUUGAACCGCAUGGUUCAAAAGUAAAAGACGGUCUUGCUGUCACUUAUAGAUGGAUCCGCGCUGCAUUAGCUAGUUGGUAAGGUAACGGCUUACCAAGGCAACGAUGCAUAGCCGACCUGAGAGGGUGAUCGGCCACACUGGAACUGAGACACGGUCCAGACUCCUACGGGAGGCAGCAGUAGGGAAUCUUCCGCAAUGGGCGAAAGCCUGACGGAGCAACGCCGCGUGAGUGAUGAAGGUCUUCGGAUCGUAAAACUCUGUUAUUAGGGAAGAACAUAUGUGUAAGUAACUGUGCACAUCUUGACGGUACCUAAUCAGAAAGCCACGGCUAACUACGUGCCAGCAGCCGCGGUAAUACGUAGGUGGCAAGCGUUAUCCGGAAUUAUUGGGCGUAAAGCGCGCGUAGGCGGUUUUUUAAGUCUGAUGUGAAAGCCCACGGCUCAACCGUGGAGGGUCAUUGGAAACUGGAAAACUUGAGUGCAGAAGAGGAAAGUGGAAUUCCAUGUGUAGCGGUGAAAUGCGCAGAGAUAUGGAGGAACACCAGUGGCGAAGGCGACUUUCUGGUCUGUAACUGACGCUGAUGUGCGAAAGCGUGGGGAUCAAACAGGAUUAGAUACCCUGGUAGUCCACGCCGUAAACGAUGAGUGCUAAGUGUUAGGGGGUUUCCGCCCCUUAGUGCUGCAGCUAACGCAUUAAGCACUCCGCCUGGGGAGUACGACCGCAAGGUUGAAACUCAAAGGAAUUGACGGGGACCCGCACAAGCGGUGGAGCAUGUGGUUUAAUUCGAAGCAACGCGAAGAACCUUACCAAAUCUUGACAUCCUUUGACAACUCUAGAGAUAGAGCCUUCCCCUUCGGGGGACAAAGUGACAGGUGGUGCAUGGUUGUCGUCAGCUCGUGUCGUGAGAUGUUGGGUUAAGUCCCGCAACGAGCGCAACCCUUAAGCUUAGUUGCCAUCAUUAAGUUGGGCACUCUAAGUUGACUGCCGGUGACAAACCGGAGGAAGGUGGGGAUGACGUCAAAUCAUCAUGCCCCUUAUGAUUUGGGCUACACACGUGCUACAAUGGACAAUACAAAGGGCAGCGAAACCGCGAGGUCAAGCAAAUCCCAUAAAGUUGUUCUCAGUUCGGAUUGUAGUCUGCAACUCGACUACAUGAAGCUGGAAUCGCUAGUAAUCGUAGAUCAGCAUGCUACGGUGAAUACGUUCCCGGGUCUUGUACACACCGCCCGUCACACCACGAGAGUUUGUAACACCCGAAGCCGGUGGAGUAACCUUUUAGGAGCUAGCCGUCGAAGGUGGGACAAAUGAUUGGGGUGAAGUCGUAACAAGGUAGCCGUAUCGGAAGGUGCGGCUGGAUCACCU
Molecule: ribosomal RNA, 1540 nt
Filed under: Staphylococcus aureus T69721
Lineage: Bacteria; Bacillati; Bacillota; Bacilli; Caryophanales; Staphylococcaceae
Description: 16S ribosomal RNA
Rfam family: Bacterial small subunit ribosomal RNA
Source: RNAcentral